Molecule: ribosomal RNA, 253 nt
Filed under: uncultured bacterium
Lineage: Bacteria
Description: partial 16S ribosomal RNA
Rfam family: Bacterial small subunit ribosomal RNA
Source: RNAcentral
UACGAAGGGGGCUAGCGUUGUUCGGAAUUACUGGGCGUAAAGCGCACGUAGGCGGUUCGAUCAGUCAGGGGUGAAAUCCCAGGGCUCAACCCUGGAACUGCCUUUGAUACUGUCGAUCUGGAGUAUGGAAGAGGUGAGUGGAAUUCCGAGUGUAGAGGUGAAAUUCGUAGAUAUUCGGAGGAACACCAGUGGCGAAGGCGGCUCACUGGUCCAUUACUGACGCUGAGGUGCGAAAGCGUGGGGAGCAAACAGG